RNAcentral lists this ribosomal RNA (253 nucleotides) under uncultured bacterium. RNAcentral's name for it is "partial 16S ribosomal RNA". It matches the Rfam family "Bacterial small subunit ribosomal RNA", at positions 524 to 776 of the family's 1533-position model. The record is from RNAcentral.
UACAGAGGCCUCGAGCGUUAGGCGGAAUCACUGGGCUUAAAGCGUGUGUAGGUGGAUGCCUAAGUACCUUGUGAAAUCCCAUGGCUUAACCAUGGAAUUGCUCGGUAUACUGGGUGUCUUGAGCCACUCAGGGGCUACCGGAACAAGCGGUGGAGCGGUGAAAUGCGUAGAUAUCGCUUGGAACGCCAAAGGUGAAAACAGGUAGCUGGGGGUGUGCUGACACUGAGACACGAAAGCCAGGGGAGCAAACGGG